RNAcentral lists this ribosomal RNA (388 nucleotides) under uncultured bacterium. RNAcentral describes it as "bacterial SSU rRNA". It matches the Rfam family "Bacterial small subunit ribosomal RNA", at positions 29 to 417 of the family's 1533-position model. The record is from RNAcentral.
AUUGAACGCUGGCGGAAUGCUUUACACAUGCAAGUCGAGCGGCAGCGCGGGGGCAACCCUGGCGGCGAGCGGCGAACGGGUGAGUAAUACAUCGGAACGUGUCCUUGAGUGGGGGAUAGCUCGGCGAAAGCCGGAUUAAUACCGCAUAAGCUCUGAGGAGGAAAGCGGGGGAUUCGCAAGGACCUCGCGCUGUUGGAGCGGCCGAUGUCGGAUUAGCUAGUUGGNGGGGUAAAGGCCCACCAAGGCGACGAUCCGUAGCUGGUCUGAGAGGAUGAUCAGCCACACUGGAACUGAGACACGGUCCAGACUCCUACGGAGGCAGCAGUGGGGAAUUUUGGACAAUGGGGGCAACCCUGAUCCAGCCAUUCCGCGUGAGUGAAGAAGGCCU